UACGUAGGGGGCUAGCGUUAUCCGGAUUUACUGGGCGUAAAGGGUGCGUAGGCGGUCUUUCAAGUCAGGAGUUAAAGGCUACGGCUCAACCGUAGUAAGCUCCUGAUACUGUCUGACUUGAGUGCAGGAGAGGAAAGCGGAAUUCCCAGUGUAGCGGUGAAAUGCGUAGAUAUUGGGAGGAACACCAGUAGCGAAGGCGGCUUUCUGGACUGUAACUGACGCUGAGGCACGAAAGCGUGGGGAGCAAACAGG
Molecule: ribosomal RNA, 252 nt
Filed under: Peptacetobacter hiranonis DSM 13275
Lineage: Bacteria; Bacillati; Bacillota; Clostridia; Peptostreptococcales; Peptostreptococcaceae
Also listed under: 2 other names
Description: [Clostridium] hiranonis DSM 13275 partial 16S ribosomal RNA
Rfam family: Bacterial small subunit ribosomal RNA
Source: RNAcentral